RNAcentral lists this ribosomal RNA (253 nucleotides) under uncultured bacterium. RNAcentral describes it as "partial 16S ribosomal RNA". It matches the Rfam family "Bacterial small subunit ribosomal RNA", at positions 524 to 776 of the family's 1533-position model. The record is from RNAcentral.
UACGUAGGGGGCAAGCGUUGUUCGGAAUCAUUGGGCGUAAAGCGCGUGUAGGCGGCUCGAUAAGUCUGCUGUGAAAGUCCAGGGCUCAACCCUGGGAUGCCGGUGGAUACUGUCGAGCUCGAGUCCGGAAGAGGCGAGUGGAAUUCCUGGUGUAGCGGUGAAAUGCGCAGAUAUCAGGAGGAACACCGAUGGCGAAGGCAGCUCGCUGGGACGUGACUGACGCUGAGACGCGAAAGCGUGGGGAGCAAACAGG